ACAGAGGUGUCAAACGUUGUCCGGAAUUACUGGGCGUAAAGGGCGCGUAGGCGGCCUUAUAAGUCAGGUGUGAAAGCUCUGGGCUCAACCCAGGAAUUGCAUCUGAUACUGUAAGGCUUGAGUUCGGUAGAGGAGGGCGGAAUUCCAGGUGUAGCGGUGAAAUGCGUAGAUAUCUGGAGGAACACCCGUGGCGAAGGCGGCUCUCUGGUCCGAAACUGACGCUGAGGUGCGAAAGCUAGGGUAGCAAACAGGAUUAGAUACCCUGGUAGUCCUAGCUGUAAACGAUGAGUACUAGGUGUUGGAGGUAUUGACCCCUUCAGUGCCGAAGCUAACGCAUUAAGUACUCCGCCUGGGAACUACGAUCGCAAGAUUG
Molecule: ribosomal RNA, 373 nt
Filed under: uncultured bacterium
Lineage: Bacteria
Description: bacterial SSU rRNA
Rfam family: Bacterial small subunit ribosomal RNA
Source: RNAcentral